This 72-nucleotide transfer RNA is filed under the name Candidatus Blackburnbacteria bacterium. RNAcentral describes it as "tRNA-Lys". It matches the Rfam family "tRNA". Rfam says of the family: Transfer RNA (tRNA) molecules are approximately 80 nucleotides in length. Their secondary structure includes four short double-helical elements and three loops (D, anti-codon, and T loops). Lineage: Bacteria; Candidatus Blackburniibacteriota. The record is from RNAcentral.
GGGCCCGUAGCUCAAUGGCAGAGCACCAGCCUUUUAAGCUGAGGGUUGACAGUUCGAAUCUGUCCGGGCUCA